ACAAGAUGUCUGCCGAUAUAAAUACCCUGACAGAGAUAAGGAGGUUUAUGCGAAUAGACGCAUAUUUACAUAUUCCAAGAGACAUCAUAAUACCCCUAAGAAAGUCUCAAGACAUGGCCAUAUUAGUAGAUCCAAUUCUAAUGUAUAUUCUAUGAAAACCAAUCAAUCGGAAUCUAAACAGGUACUAUCUACACCCUCAUAUAGGCGGUAUGAUCACCGACAGUCCAGAAUCCGU
Non-coding RNA from Pelobates cultripes (western spadefoot toad), 235 nucleotides. The record is from the annotation of a GenBank genome assembly. Lineage: Eukaryota; Metazoa; Chordata; Amphibia; Anura; Pelobatidae.